RNAcentral lists this ribosomal RNA (542 nucleotides) under uncultured bacterium. RNAcentral's name for it is "bacterial SSU rRNA". It matches the Rfam family "Bacterial small subunit ribosomal RNA", at positions 777 to 1318 of the family's 1533-position model. The record is from RNAcentral.
AAUAGAUACCCAGGUAGUCCACGCCGUAAACGUUGGAUACUAGGUGUGGCGGUUAUACCAAUGACUGCCGUGCCGAAGCUAACGCAUUAAGUAUCCCGCCUGGGGAGUACGGCCGCAAGGCUAAAACUCAAAGGAAUUGACGGGUCCCCGCACAAGCGGCGGAGCAUGCGGCUUAAUUCGAUGCAACCCGAAGAACCUUACCUGGGUUUGACAUCACGGGAAAAGCUGUAGAAAUACAGUGUCCAUUAGGGCCCGUGACAGGUGGUGCAUGGCUGUCGUCAGCUCGUGUCGUGAGAUGUUGGGUUAAGUCCCGCAACGAGCGCAACCCUUGUCCUAAUGUUGCCAGCGGUUCGGCCGGGGACUCAUAGGAGACUGCCGGGGAUAACUCGGAGGAAGGUGAGGACGACGUCAAGUCAUCAUGCCCCUUAUAUCCAGGGCUGCACGCAUGCUACAAUGGCCGGUACAACGGGCAGCGACCCCGCGAGGGUGAGCGAAUCCUAAAAAGCCGGUCCUAGUUCGGAUUGAAGUCUGCAACUCGACUU